CCUACGGGUGGCAGCAGUCGAGAAUCAUGCACAAUGGGGGAAACCCUGAUGGGGCGACGCCGCGUGGGGGAAUGAAGGUCUUCGGAUUGUAAACCCCUGUCAUGUGGGAGCAAAUUAAAAAGAUAGUACCACAAGAGGAAGAGACGGCUAACUCUGUGCCAGCAGCCGCGGUAAUACAGAGGUCUCAAGCGUUGUUCGGAAUCACUGGGCGUAAAGCGUGCGUAGGAUGUUUCGUAAGUAGUGUGUGAAAGGGGCGGGCUCAACCCGCGGAUGGCAAAUGAUACUGCGAGACUAGAGUAAUGGAGGGGGAACCGGAAUUCUCGGUGUAGCAGUGAAAUGCGUAGAUAUCGAGAGGAACACUCGUGGCGAAGGCAGGUUCCUGGACAUUAACUGACGCUGAGGCACGAAGGCCAGGGGAGCGAAAGGGAUUAGAUACCCGGGUAGUC
This 446-nucleotide ribosomal RNA is filed under the name uncultured bacterium. Its description in RNAcentral is "partial 16S ribosomal RNA". It matches the Rfam family "Bacterial small subunit ribosomal RNA", at positions 338 to 795 of the family's 1533-position model. The record is from RNAcentral.